UACGGGGGGGGCAAGCGUUGUUCGGAAUUACUGGGCGUAAAGGGCUCGUAGGCGGCCAACUAAGUCAGACGUGAAAUCCCUCGGCUUAACCGGGGAACUGCAUCUGAUACUGGAUGGCUUGAGUUCGGGAGAGGGAUGCGGAAUUCCAGGUGUAGCGAUGAAAUGCGUAGAUAUCUGGAGGAACACCGGUGGCGAAGGCGGCAUCCUGGACCGACACUGACGCUGAGGAGCGAAAGCGUGGGGAGCGAACAGG
RNAcentral lists this ribosomal RNA (253 nucleotides) under uncultured bacterium. RNAcentral describes it as "partial 16S ribosomal RNA". It matches the Rfam family "Bacterial small subunit ribosomal RNA", at positions 524 to 776 of the family's 1533-position model. The record is from RNAcentral.